Molecule: long non-coding RNA, 900 nt
Filed under: Coffea arabica (coffee)
Lineage: Eukaryota; Viridiplantae; Streptophyta; Magnoliopsida; Gentianales; Rubiaceae
Description: long non-coding RNA (CARA_LNC002653)
Source: RNAcentral
UCUCUUUUCUUGUUUGGCUUGGGCCAAACUGCUUCAGCCCAAGGAAAAAUAAAGCAGACCACUCCCUGGAAAACCCAAAAUAGCCCAUCAUAUUCCACUACUCUCAGAUCAACUGAGGAGUUGGCCUUGAUCCUUCAAGCCCAAUACCUUAAACCCAAAGAGAAUAAUCGCCCGGUUUCCAAACCCAAAAACACACUCAAUUUACACUUUAAUGGAUCAAACCUAAUAAAACAAAACAAACAUAAUUGGAGCAAAAAUAGAAAAGCAAAGAUCCAGACACUUUUGGCGGAUAUGAAGUUUUCGGUGGGUCGAUCAACCGAAAACUAGAAAAAUUCCGGCCAAACUGGCAGAAACCUCAUUGGAAGCCCCUUUUUCUCACUUUUAAGGCCGGAUUUUUUCAUAUAUACGAAGCAUAUGGCAUCAUGUACUCACUCAAAUCUCAAACAAGGUCCAAAAAAUGAAAUAAUCAUGCCAAAAUGAGGAUGCAAGCUUCUUGAACAUAAACUUUCAUACACACUCAAAUCUCUUGUAUAAUCAUCGAAUCAAGCAAGGAAAAGCCAUGGAGAUACAUGAGGAUGCUUUUCAGACGAGAUUGCAAUCUGAAAAUGAGAGGGAAGAGGAUUUGUUGAAGUUUCAAGAAAAAUUGCAGCAACAUCGCUGAUGGCGAACCCCCAACUUGACGACUCGAUUCAAAGGCUUCCUGACAUUUUUUGGGAAAAAUUUCAAAUAAAUCUUUCCUACUAACGUCCUAGAUCACGCAGAAACAAAAAUCUCAUCCAACGAAGUUGGAUCAAAGGAGGAAAUCGAGAUCGAAGAUGGCUAGAUGACCAACCCGCUUUCUGGAAAAAUUUUUCUGAAACAUUUUUUUCUCUCUGUCGUUUUCUCUUACUCUCCCCCCCC